GAAUGGUGAUUGUUGCGUCCGCA
This 23-nucleotide microRNA is filed under the name Haemonchus contortus (barber pole worm). RNAcentral's name for it is "hco-miR-5933". The record is from miRBase by way of RNAcentral. Lineage: Eukaryota; Metazoa; Nematoda; Chromadorea; Rhabditida; Trichostrongylidae.